GAUGAACGCUGGCGGCGUGCCUAAUACAUGCAAGUCGAACGAGGUGCUUGAGUAGCAAUACAAGAGUAUCCUAGUGGCGAACGGGUGAGUAACGCGUGGAUGACCUGCCCCAAAGUGUGGGAUAACAGUCCGAAAGGAUUGCUAAUACCUCAUGUGGUUAUCGGAUUUAGAAACUGAUAACUAAAGCAGCAAUGCGCUUUGGGAGGGAUCUGCGUCCCAUCAGCUAGUUGGUGAGGUAACGGCUCACCAAGGCGACGACGGGUAGGGGACCUGAGAGGGUGGCCCCCCACAAUGGAACUGAAACAACGGUCCAUACACCUGCGGGUGGCAGCAGUAGGGAAUAAUUGCUCAAUGGGCGAAAGACCUGAAGCAGCAACGCCGCGUGUGCGAUGAAGGCCUCGGUC
Molecule: ribosomal RNA, 404 nt
Filed under: uncultured bacterium
Lineage: Bacteria
Description: bacterial SSU rRNA
Rfam family: Bacterial small subunit ribosomal RNA
Source: RNAcentral